GACGAACGCUGGCGGCGUGCCUAAUACAUGCAAGUCGAGCGGACCGGAUUGGGGCUUGCCUUGAUUCGGUCAGCGGCGGACGGGUGAGUAACACGUGGGCAACCUGCCCGCAAGACCAGGAAAACUCCGGGAAACCGGAGCUAAUACCGGAUAACACCGAAGACCGCAUGGUCUUCGGUUGAAAGGCGGCCUUUGGGCUGUCACUUGCGGAUGGGCCCGCGGCGCAUUAGCUAGUUGGUGAGGUAACGGCUCACCAAGGCGACGAUGCGUAGCCGGCCUGAGAGGGUGACCGGCCACACUGGGACUGAGACACGGCCCAGACUCCUACGGGAGGCAGCAGUAGGGAAUCUUCCGCAAUGGGCGAAAGCCUGACGGAGCGACGCCGCGUGAGCGAAGAAGGCCUUCGGGUCGUAAAGCUCUGUUGUGAGGGACGAAGGAGCGCCGUUCGAAGAGGGCGGCGCGGUGACGGUACCUCACGAGAAAGCCCCGGCUAACUACGUGCCAGCCGCCGCGGUAA
This 517-nucleotide ribosomal RNA is filed under the name uncultured bacterium. RNAcentral describes it as "partial 16S ribosomal RNA". It matches the Rfam family "Bacterial small subunit ribosomal RNA", at positions 28 to 523 of the family's 1533-position model. The record is from RNAcentral.